AACGAACGCUGGCGGCGUGCCUAACACAUGCAAGUCGAACGGGAUUAGGGGCUUGCUCCUAAUCUAGUGGCGCACGGGUGAGUAACGCGUAGAUAAUCUGCCUGAUGAUCUGGGAUAACACUUCGAAAGAGGUGCUAAUACCGGAUAAGCCCACGGGUUCUUUGGAAUCUGCGGGAAAAGGGGGGGACCUUCGGGCCUUCUGUCAUCAGAUGAGUCUGCGUACCAUUAGCUAGUUGGUAGGGUAAUGGCCUACCAAGGCGACGAUGGUUAGCUGGUCUGAGAGGACGAUCAGCCACACUGGAACUGAGACACGGUCCAGACUCCUACGGGAGGCAGCAGUGGGGAAUUUCGCGCAAUGGGCGAAAGCCUGACGCAGCAACGCCGCGUGAGUGAUGAAGGCUUUCGGGUCGUAAAGCUCUGUCAAUGGGAAAGAAGUGUAUUGGAGCUAAUAUCUCCGAUACUUGACGGUACCCAUAAAGGAAGCACCGGCUAACUCCGUGCCAGCCGCCGCGGUAA
Molecule: ribosomal RNA, 516 nt
Filed under: uncultured bacterium
Lineage: Bacteria
Description: partial 16S ribosomal RNA
Rfam family: Bacterial small subunit ribosomal RNA
Source: RNAcentral